RNAcentral lists this ribosomal RNA (253 nucleotides) under uncultured bacterium. RNAcentral's name for it is "partial 16S ribosomal RNA". It matches the Rfam family "Bacterial small subunit ribosomal RNA", at positions 524 to 776 of the family's 1533-position model. The record is from RNAcentral.
UACGGGGGGGGCAAGCGUUGUUCGGAAUUACUGGGCGUAAAGGGCUCGUAGGUGGCCAACUAAGUCAGACGUGAAAUCCCUCGGCUUAACCGGGGAACUGCGUCUGAUACUGGUUGGCUUGAAUCCGGGAGAGGGAUGUGGAAUUCCAGGUGUAGCGGUGAAAUGCGUAGAUAUCAAGAGGAAUACCUGAGGUGAAGACGGGUUGCUAGGCCGACACUGACGCUGAAGCGCGAAAGCCAGGGGAGCAAACGGG